This is a small nuclear RNA of Perognathus longimembris pacificus (Pacific pocket mouse), 107 nucleotides long. NCBI's taxonomy places the organism in Eukaryota, Metazoa, Chordata, Mammalia, Rodentia, Heteromyidae. The record is from RefSeq and is a predicted model, not a curated record.
GUGCUCACUUCAGCAGCACAUAUACUAAAGUUGUAAUGAUACAGAGAAGAUUCACAUGGCCCUUGCACAAGGAUGACACACAGACUCACGAAGCGUUCCAUGUUUUC